Molecule: long non-coding RNA, 1526 nt
Filed under: Olea europaea subsp. europaea
Lineage: Eukaryota; Viridiplantae; Streptophyta; Magnoliopsida; Lamiales; Oleaceae
Source: RNAcentral
CCAUCAGUAGUUUAAAAAUAUAAAUAUUUUUGUGGGAUAUUAUUUCAUCUAAGAAUAAGAACAAUUAAGAAUUUCCCUUUCGGGAAAGAAGGAAAAUCAGAACAUAUUUUAGAGAAUUAGAAACUUGUAUUGUAUAUAUGUUCUUCCGUGUUCUUACAAAUGAAAGAAUGAUCUCCUUUUAUAGUAGAGAAAAGGUAAAAAAGACAUUAUCUAAAAGCAAAGAAUCUUUGCUUUUUUCAAAAUGUCAAAAAGAGAAUAGUAAAAGCUAUCCUAUCAAAUCUUACUUUAUAUAAUAGUAAGAUUCUUUUACAGAUUUUUCAAAAAGUAAAUAGUAAAAAAUCUUCAAAAGUCUUGACGUCUGGACAAAAAUCUUCAAUCAAAAAAUUCUUUUUCUAGAGACUUCUUGUCUUUUCUCCAGCUGUCUGAUUUAUUCUUUACACCUGUCUGAAAAAUCUCUUAUCUUGUUGCAUAAUUGUGUCUGCCAAUACUGUCUAAAGAAUCUCCUCCAUCAGUAAGAUCUUCUGGAUUAUCUUCUGAAUUAUUGUCUUUGGAGUCAUCUAAAUUUAUGUCUUGUUCAAUCUUCUUUUUUCCUUUAUUUUUCUUUUUAAUUUGUAAUUUCUUUUUCUUCGUAGUACUUUGUUUAACUUGUUGCUGAAUUUCUUCAAUCUUUUCAAACAUUUCUUUAAUCUUUCUAAUAUCUGAUUGAGAAAUUUGGUCUGGAUCUUGAGCUGAUUGGAAUGAUCCUGGAAAAUUAAUUGGGCUUUUCUGUUUAAGAUCUAUUGGGCUAAUAAGUCUGGUAGCAGAAUUAUAAGUCUGCUGUGUCUGAUCUUCUUUAUUAUAUGUAACAGGAUUUUCAGCCUGUUGAGUCUGAGAAGUAGAGGAAUCAACAGUCCUCUGAGUCUGUUGAGCUUUUGGUAAGCCCAGAACCAUAAACGGAUUUGAAAAGUCUUUACCAGCUUCCGUUUGAGCUGGACUAGCUAUAGAUUUAUUGGGCUCUAUAGUACCUGCUUCUGUCUGAGAGAUAGGAUUUAAAAUUUUUAAAUUAAUAAUCUCUUGCUCCAAAUCAGAGAUCUUCUUUUGUAAUGCUAAUUUUUCUUGUUGCAAAGUCUGAUUUGAUUCAUUUAAAAUUUUAAAAUUCUUUGUCAUACAUUCACAAUGAUCACAAAAUCUUGAAGAAUAAUCUAAAGGUUGAUCUGAAACAUUUUUUAAAGAAGGAGCAAUAAAAUAAUUUGAACCAAUAAAUUUCCUACAUUCUUCUAAUGCUUCUGAAAUUGAGUAAAAUCCUUUGUAAAGAGGAUUUGGAAAAUUCUUAAUACAGUCUGAAACUUCUAACCAGGUAUGGUAAAUUCCUGGAAGUCUUCCAUUUAAAACAACAUAACAUUUAAAUUGUUUAUGAUCUUGACUAAAAUGUUCUGAAAGAGCAUUUAAACAUGAUAAAAAAUAUUUUUGGUCUUUUGGGUUUUUAUUAUAAGAAAUCCAUAAAUUAUCUAAAAUACAUUUAUCUGCCUUUGUUACUGAAAUAUGAG